This 345-nucleotide unclassified non-coding RNA is filed under the name soil metagenome. RNAcentral describes it as "partial contains 5.8S ribosomal RNA, internal transcribed spacer 2, and large subunit ribosomal RNA". The stretch from base 1 to 120 matches the Rfam family "5.8S ribosomal RNA", at positions 35 to 154 of the family's 154-position model. The record is from RNAcentral.
GAUGAAGAACGUAGCGAAAUGCGAUACGUAAUGUGAAUUGCAGAAUUCAGUGAAUCAUCGAGUCUUUGAACGCACAUUGCGCCCCCUGGUAUUCCGGGGGGCAUGCCUGUCCGAGCGUCAUUGCUGCCCUCAAGCACGGCUUGUGUGUUGGGCCUCCGACCUCCUCCCGGGGGACGGGCCCGAAAGGCAGCGGCGGCACCGCGUCCGGUCCUCGAGCGUAUGGGGCUUCGUCACCCGCUCUUGUAGGCCCGGCCGGCGCUUGCCGACACAUCAAUCUUUUUUCCAGGUUGACCUCGGAUCAGGUAGGGAUACCCGCUGAACUUAAGCAUAUCAAUAAGCGGAGGA